GACCUUGUGGCUCAGUUGGUAGAGCAUGGUGUGUGCAACGCCAUGGUUGUGGGUUUGAUUCCCACGGGGGGCC
This 73-nucleotide transfer RNA is filed under the name Salmo salar (Atlantic salmon). It matches the Rfam family "tRNA". Rfam says of the family: Transfer RNA (tRNA) molecules are approximately 80 nucleotides in length. Their secondary structure includes four short double-helical elements and three loops (D, anti-codon, and T loops). Further hydrogen bonds mediate the characteristic L-shaped molecular structure. tRNAs have two regions of fundamental functional importance: the anti-codon, which is responsible for specific mRNA codon recognition, and the 3' end, to which the tRNAs corresponding amino acid is attached (by aminoacyl-tRNA synthetases). tRNAs cope with the degeneracy of the genetic code in two manners: having more than one tRNA (with a specific anti-codon) for a particular amino acid; and 'wobble' base-pairing, i.e. permitting non-standard base-pairing at the 3rd anti-codon position. The record is from Rfam by way of RNAcentral. Lineage: Eukaryota; Metazoa; Chordata; Actinopteri; Salmoniformes; Salmonidae.